UGGGGAAUUUUGGACAAUGGGGGAAACCCUGAUCCAGCAAUGCCGCGUGGAUGAUGAAGGCCUUAGGGUUGUAAAAUCCUUUCGUUGGGGACGAUAAUGACGGUACCCAAAGAAGAAGCUCCGGCUAACUUCGUGCCAGCAGCCGCGGUAAUACGAAGGGGGCUAGCGUUGUUCGGAUUUACUGGGCGUAAAGCGCGUGUAGGCGGACUUGUAAGUUGGGGGUGAAAUCCCGAGGCUCAACCUCGGAACUGCCUCCAAAACUACAAAUCUGGACCUAAGUAGAGGCAAGUGGAAUUGCGAGUGUAGAGGUGAAAUUCGUAGAUAUUCGCAGGAACACCAGUGGCGAAGGCGACUUGCUGGACUUAUGGUGACGCUGAGACGCGAAAGCGUGGGGAGCAAACAGGAUUAGAUACCCCCGUAGUCCCUGAGCGGGCUGGCAAGGCGCAU
This 447-nucleotide ribosomal RNA is filed under the name uncultured bacterium. Its description in RNAcentral is "bacterial SSU rRNA". It matches the Rfam family "Bacterial small subunit ribosomal RNA", at positions 355 to 825 of the family's 1533-position model. The record is from RNAcentral.